Molecule: ribosomal RNA, 428 nt
Filed under: uncultured bacterium
Lineage: Bacteria
Description: bacterial SSU rRNA
Rfam family: Bacterial small subunit ribosomal RNA
Source: RNAcentral
UGAGGAAUAUUGGUCAAUGGUCGGGAGACUGAACCAGCCAAGCCGCGUGAGGGAUGAAGGUACAGAGUAUCGUAAACCUCUUUUGUCAGGGAACAAAAGGCGCCACGUGUGGCGCUCCGAGUGUACCUGAAGAAAAGCAUCGGCUAACUCCGUGCCAGCAGCCGCGGUAAUACGGAGGAUGCGAGCGUUAUCCGGAUUUAUUGGGUUUAAAGGGUGCGUAGGCGGCGAGUUAAGUCAGCGGUAAAAGCCCGGGCUCAACCCGCCGCCGUCGAAACUGGCUUGCUUGAGUUGGAGAGAAGUAGGCGGAAUGCGCGGUGUAGCGGUGAAAUGCUUAGAUAUCGCGCAGAACUCCGAUUGCGAAGGCAGCGUACCGGCGCCCAACUGACGCUGAAGCACGAAGGCGUGGGUAUCGAACAGGAUUAGAUACC